CAGACAUCGAGAGACAAGCAAACACUUACCCAAGUGCAGAGUACUCACUGCUGCAUUGCAGAGUUUACUGGCAUAAAAUGAUGGGGCAGGACAGAUUUUCAUCUGGUGUUAAGUGACUUCAAAAUAAAACCAAGGUAAAGUCAGCAACAGAAUGAGCGAAUAGAGCAUUGAGGAGCAAAAGUGGGGCCACAGUGAGGCUUUAAGUGCCUUGUAGCUACCAGAGACCGAGUUGGGAUCUGCCAUGGGGAUUGCACAGUGAGCUCUGAGAAACACCAAGUGUAGACACUGUUGGGAAAUUAACCAAAUUACCAAGCUCACACAAUUUAUAGAAAAUUAGCUUUUUAUGUCCUUUCUGGAAAAAAAAAUCCUUUCAAAGCAAGCAGAUCCUUUUGGAACAUGAGAAAAAAAAAUGCAGCACUAGUUAAUCCCAUGAAAACUUCCCUUUGGCAAUGCCUUCCUGUAAGUAAAAUAGUCCCCUAAAAGCUGUCCAGAAGGAUAAUGUUCUCAGAUGGCCACAGAGAUAAUAUAAAAAAAUGCUUUUUGGAAACAUUUGCAAUCAAAACCACUCAGAGGAUCUCCUUGCUGCUUUGGUACCUGGACAUUUCCUGUGUGGAAGGAGGGCAAAAUCUGUUUUUGUCCAUACCAGCCCCAGCCACCCUGGGCCUAGGCCCACAGCUAAACCUGGGCCCAUUUUUAGGAUAGGUGUAAAAAGUCCCCAGCUGGCCUGGCUGUGCUGAGGGCUGUAGUUCACUCUCUGCCUUCUGUACGGAUGGACACAUCAAGAAGGGUGAAAUGAGCCACAUGCACUCCCUGGGGAUUUGAAAUCACAGAGGUCAUAGAAUAUUCUGAGUUGGAAGGGAUUCACACAGGGGUCAAACCCACAGCCUUGGUGUUACUAGCACCCUGUUCUAACCAUGGGGUAUGGCACUAAAGUAAAAGGGACAAUAGAAAACUGCUCAGAAAUCAAGAGAAGUUAUGUACAUUAUGAACCUAUUCGUGAAAUUACCCCCAGAUUUUAUUUUUCAUUCAAAAAUAGGUUCCU
Long non-coding RNA from Chiroxiphia lanceolata (lance-tailed manakin), 1042 nucleotides. RefSeq lists it as uncharacterized. The transcript has 3 exons. The record is from RefSeq and is a predicted model, not a curated record. Lineage: Eukaryota; Metazoa; Chordata; Aves; Passeriformes; Pipridae.